AGGAAUAUUGGUCAAUGGGCGCAAGCCUGAACCAGCCAAGUAGCGUGAGGGAAGACUGCCCUAUGGGUUGUAAACCUCUUUUGUGCGGGGAUAAAGUGUGGGACGUGUCCCAUAUUGCAGGUACCGCACGAAUAAGGACCGGCUAAUUCCGUGCCAGCAGCCGCGGUAAUACGGAAGGUCCGGGCGUUAUCCGGAUUUAUUGGGUUUAAAGGGAGCGCAGGCCGUCCUUUAAGCGUGCUGUGAAAUGCCGCGGCUCAACCGUGGCACUGCAGCGCGAACUGGAGGACUUGAGUACGCACGAGGUAGGCGGAAUUCGUGGUGUAGCGGUGAAAUGCUUAGAUAUCACGAAGAACUCCGAUUGCGAAGGCAGCUUACCGGAGCGCAACUGACGCUGAGGCUCGAAAGCGCGGGUAUCGAACAGGAUUAGAUACCCUGGUAGUCCGCGCGGUAAACGAUGGAUGCCCGCCGUUGGGUUUUAGAAUUCAGCGGCCAAGCGAAAGCGUUAAGCAUCCCACCUGGGGGGUACGCCGGCAACGGUGAAACUCAAAGGAAUUGACGGGGGCCCGCACAAGCGGAGGAACAUGUGGUUUAAUUCGAUGAUACGCGAGGAACCUUACCCGGGCUUGAAUUGCAGGAGAACGAUCCAGAGAUGGUGAGGCCCUUCGGGGCUCCUGUGAAGGUGCUGCAUGGUUGUCGUCAGCUCGUGCCGUGAGGUGUCGGCUCAAGUGCCAUAACGAGCGCAACCCCUGUCCAUAGUUGCCAUCAGGUCGUGCUGGGCACUCUGUGGAGACUGCCGCCGUAAGGUGUGAGGAAGGUGGGGAUGACGUCAAAUCAGCACGGCCCUUACGUCCGGGGCUACACACGUGUUACAAUGGGGCAUACAGCGAGUUGGAUGUGCGCAAGUACGUCCGGAUCAAUAAAGUGCCUCUCAGUUCGGACUGGGGUCUGCAACCCGACCCCACGAAGCUGGAUUCGCUAGUAAUCGCGCAUCAGCCAUGGCGCGGUGAAUACGUUCCCG
This 1018-nucleotide ribosomal RNA is filed under the name uncultured bacterium. RNAcentral describes it as "bacterial SSU rRNA". It matches the Rfam family "Bacterial small subunit ribosomal RNA", at positions 357 to 1376 of the family's 1533-position model. The record is from RNAcentral.